Molecule: long non-coding RNA, 4575 nt
Organism: Brassica napus (rape)
Lineage: Eukaryota; Viridiplantae; Streptophyta; Magnoliopsida; Brassicales; Brassicaceae
Exons: 2
Source: RefSeq, a predicted model, not a curated record
UUAAUUAUUUUCUGAUUUCAUAUAUGCCUUUUGUUGUUUUAAGUUUUAACUGAUCAGUUUAAUGAUUAGUUUAUAUAUGUGUGCAUAAUAAUUAUUUUUACGUGAAACAGAUCUAAAAACAUUCGUAGGAUAAAUAAUUUUCUCUUUUGGUUUUAAUUGUAUGUAAAUAUAGUAUACCAAUCAAAACUUUCAACCAACCGAGUUAAACGCGAUUUUUAUAAGCAAUUGAUAAUGACAUACAAUACUACCAUAUAGAAAAAGUAUCCGUCCCUGUAUUAUACUAUGUAAGUUAUGUGGACCGAAAUAGAAGAUGCGUAUAAUUAACUCAAGCAACUCUACAGUCAAUCAUUAAACCUUUUCUUUUAUCGUGACAAUGUCUAUAUAUAUAAAGUAUGGUUUGCUCUCUUCUGGAGCAUGCCACCUAUGAUUCCACGUCAUAAAAUCGUGAUCCGUGGUGACGACACGUGUCCCUGUUUGAGUUUUUGUUUAGAUACGAGAUGGACCUUGCUGUUGGAGUUUUGUCUUAGGUUAUUUAGGUUUUAAUGUACAAAAGCCCAGCCCGUUUGUGAGCUAAUCUUCUCACGACAACUACCAGUUAGGGUUCACCUCUUCUCCGAUAUCUGGAAAGCUUCAACAACAAUGGUGACUUCUGAUGGGUUUUUUUUUUGCGGUAGAUCUUCAUGGAGAAUCUCUCAUCGAGCUCAGUUCGUUUCGUGUAUACUGGGAUUCUUCUCUUCCGAACCGUUACAGAAUGCAUUGAAUCGUUACCAUUAAUGAACGUCUUAACUCUUCGAUCCACUCUUCCUCAUUCAAUGCAUCUGCACUCUCUUCCAAGAGAUGCAUCUGCAACUAUAAAAAGGUAAUCCUUCGUACCGUAAACAUCAUCCUAAAAAAAUUAUCUCUUUGAGAUUUUAUAAGGUUUUCAAUCUAAGAAAGUUUAGAUUUUUAUUGGUUUCUUGCUAUUCUCCUUCAGUUAAUUUGUUUGUUUCUAAUUUACAUUCUUAUGUUCUUUGAGUUACUGUUGAUUUCUUAUAACUUGAUCGUUUAUGAUUUUGCAGAAUCUUCCAACUCUUAUGCCAAAAUAUACAGUUUUGGAUGUUCUCAAAAUCUUAGUUGGUAAGGAAUCGAUCACCUAACACAGUCUUUUUGAUUUCUAUAGGCUCUUCUUAUAUGCUGUUUCAUAAAAGUAAAUGUUUCUUUUUCGCUGGGGAUCUAAAAAGACAUCCGAUUCUCAUACACUGCAAAGCAAGAAAUGUAAUCUACAGACAUCAAUUUUUUAUGUCUUCUUUUUUUAAGAGAAGUUAAUAAAGGAUAUUUUUUUGUGGUCUUUUAUGAGAUUAGUUCUCUGCAAGACAUUAAUGGUUUGAUGGUUAUGACGAGAACUCAAUAUGAAUGCGGCAUAGGAAAAGUUGUCUGGUAGGGUGCUUAAAAAAAAGUUCAGAGCUGGGUUUUAUUAUCGGUGAGUAUAACAAGUUGCUUAGCUUCAAGUUCUUUCUCGAAAGCACACUGCUUUGUUCAUCAUCGUUAAAGCCUAUAUUAACAUUUCAACCUUUCUCUUUAAGGUGAAAUUGUUAUAAACAUGGUUGUAGGAGGUGAAGUAACCACUCUCAAAGGCCUUGAAGAAAUCAGCGGCAUUAUCAUCACAGAGAUGCUAAUCAAUGUUUCUGAGAACUUACAAAAAUUUAAGGACUCCUAUGAUCUGAAGAAUACCAUCAAAAUUUGUUUGAUGUCUCUUGAGCUUCAAAUUAUAUGUUACCUGACCUUCUCUAUGGAAUCUAUUGUUUGUGUUAAACUACAGAAGAUGUCUCCAUGUCUCUCUACUGCACUUAGCCAUUAAGUUGAUCACUAUGGUCUACAAGUAUGCGUGUUUUAAAUUGGAAGUGGAGACGAAGGGAAUCAAAUUCACGGAGACAUUUGAUAUCAUGCUCUCAUUCCUAAUCAUCUAAGCAAAUUUAUAAAGAACAUUGUACUUCUCUCUCAAAACCUUUCUAAACACCAAAGUGAGAUUUUAAAUAAUGUACUAACUGUUUUUAUUCUUUUCACUUAUAAAAGAAAAUAAUCAGAAGAUAACGUAAAACAAACAAAUGCAUGAGCUAUUUGUCUUUGUUAAACGUACAAAAUUCUCAAUAUUAACUUCAAGACAUUUAAUAGUCUGUUAACUUUAUUGGUAAAAUGAUAGUGAUUCGUUGUGACUUUUCUAUUCCACAAAGGAUAGAACAAUUGUUGUGAAAUAUUUUUUGUUUAUAGUAUAAAACAAUUAUUAUUGCAAUAAAUAUUUUCUACUUCAUCAAAUUCAAGCCAAGGAAAAAAUGAAUGAAAUAAUCAAAGGUUAUCCUUUUCCUGACCAAAUUCAAAUUUAGAUAAAUUAAAUAUUUAAUCGAAAACCAAAAAGAAAAAAAUAACACACCAUCAAAAAUAAUUUUGUAAACAAUUAUCCAAAAUAGUAAAUAUAAACUAAAUAGAAUUACAAUUUAGUGAAAUACACAAUAUAACAAAAUACAUAAUAUAGCACAAAUAUGUAAUUUAACAAAAAUAUAAAGGUUUACCUAAAAAAAAUAUUUUUCAAAAACACACACAAUGGAUUAGUUCAAGCAUCCGAUGAACCGCCAUAAGCCUCAGUAACAGCAGGUGAAAACAGAUGUUUUCAUGUUUAAACAGUGGAGGCCGUGGCAACUACAGGACAAACGUUUAUGUUAAUCUAAGAGACACUGCGAGUUGUUUACUUCUACUAAACCGGCACACAUUCUAUUUUCAGAAAGUAAUUAUCCAAUAUUGACAUCGUACUUAUACAAAAUAAAUACCAUAAAAAAACAAUUUUAUCAAAACAGAUCUUAGCUAAGUGAGAUGCAGACCCGUUUCAAUAAACAAAAGGAAAAGACGACAUAUGGCUCGGAGCAUAACCUCCCCUAUAAAAUUCCCCACCCACUAAACAUUUGUUUACUAUUUUAAAUAUACGUAGUUUUAUUAUUUUAAUAUUUAAUUAGUUACGCCACAUAUCUACUAAAAGAAAAGUUGAAAAGAGUAAACUAAGAUCUUUGAUUAGAAUGAUUAUUCUUUACUUUAGUUUAUAAAAUUAAAUACUAAUAUCAUAUUAUAAAUUAUGCAACUUUGGUCCAAAGUAGGCCUAAAUUUGAAUUUUGUUUUUCUCAAUUUAUGUAUUUCAUUAGUUUAUGAACUUUAAAGUGAUUACUAAGUUUUUAUAAUUCGUAGAAUCCCUAAAACAUUAACUAAAAUAAUCAAAAUAUGAAAUUACAAUAUUAAUAACCAUAUAUAUAUAACCAUAUUUAACUAACUAUAACAAAUUUAAACCAAAUUAGAAGCUGAAAAAUAAAAACAUGCCUAAAUUGAAUAUUUUACAAAAUCAAAUAGUUAAAAUACCCAACAAAUUUAAUAAAUAACAAUAAAUUUAAAUAAAAAAUACAGAAAUAUUGUAUUUUAUUUUUUUAAUAAAUAUUCAUGUUUGCGUGCAGGUGUGGAGGUGAAAAAAAAAAACCUAACCAAAGCGAACCGAUCCCAAACCGAACCAAAGUAUAUGCCUAAACCAUUUGAUUCAAAAUUUUGCCAACCCAAAUAGUUUGGUUUGGUUUUAAACCAAAUUGAACUGAAAAUGAAAUAUUUUUAAAUUAGAUUAAUUAUACUAAUAAUAUUAAGAUUUAAUAUAUUUAACUAUUUAACCUAAACAACUAUAUAUAAUUUAUACAUUUUACUUCUAAAUGAAUAGAAUAAAAACAACUAAAAAUAAUAAAAAGUAUGAAUCUCAAACAUUAAUAUCAGAACUGAAUAAUUAUUUAUGAUAUUGGAUUACGUCUUCUACAUUUUUAUUGUGAUGUUUGGUUUUAUGUAUAAAUGUAAAGAAAAUAACGAUUUAAUGUAAAAUGAUGAUUUGUUUGUGUUGAAUACAUAUAUUUUGUAAUUUAACUUAAAGAAAACUAAAAGAUCGAACAAACUGAUAAACAUAAAUAAAACCAAAUUAAACUGAACCAAACACAAACCAAACUGCAAUAAACCAAGCCGAACACAAACCAAAUAGAACCAAACCGAACAUAAACCAAAUCAAACUAAUAUAGAUUAACUUUGGUUAAAUUUUUCUUAGACUUAAAUAAACCAAACCGAACUAAACCCAAACCGAAUUCAUAAUUAAACCAAAAUGUUCAUCCUAAUAAUGUUCUUUUUAUAUAGAAAUACAUAACAGUUAUAAAAAACCCUUAAAUAAAUUUCUGUGCAAAAGUAAAAUAAAAAUAUUAUUAUUAGUACCUAUUCUUCUCUAAGCAAGGACCAAGAUUCAUGCUAGGGUGAUUGGUCUAUGGUGAUGGUUUUGUAAAAAUGAUUACCGGAGACAUAACCUAACGAAUUAUCUAUGGAGUUAAGUUUUUUUUUUUUUUGACUAAAGAAGUAUCACAUGUUUCAACUACAAACAUUACUACAAGUUAACCCCGUUAUUCAUAGACUCGAUAAUUGAAUUAUAUAUUAAUCAUACGAAUUAUGAUUUCAUCCUUAUAAAAACCAUAAAACUUACACCAAAACAAUCUAAAUAUAAAAAAAAACAAAAGAAAACAAAAAUAUCCUAAAAAAACA